UGCUCUCUCCUUACCUUUUUUUUUUUUUCUCCAUCUUUUCUUCUUUCUUUUCUGGUUUGUAGAGCUUUCCCAGGCAAAAAUUAGGCUCUGAAAUCAGUAACAAAAGAAGUUUCCAACAAACACCAAAUUUAAAUUGAUUCAGGCAGCAAACCCCAUGCAUUUUGACUCUCACUCAACAUUGACUAUUAGCUUCGUCUUCAAACUCCAAGGCAGCAAAACCAAGCCCAAAAGUUUCCUCAUAAAAUAAUCCUCAGUCAUCCCACUACAAGCCCACUUUAAGCACCAGUUCUCCUCACUGUUGGAGCCUGGAGGGAGAUAAGAGAGGCGAUUCCUCUUACAUUCUAGGGAGAGAGUUGCUCAGUUGAGGUGACAGUGCGUAUCCAGCAUCCCCAUGCCAUGAUUUGGGGUCUCAGCAAGAAACAGAUGGGUGUGAGAAAAGAGUUGGCUUGCUUGUCUCUUCUGCUGCUGAUGCUGUUACAGUUAGAAAGUUCAUGUUUUGCAGAAGGGUAUGGCAGAUUCAGCAGAUUUAAAGUUGGGUCUGGGUCUGGGUCUGGUUCUGGGUCUGGUUCUGAGCUCAGUCCUGCUAAACCCCGUGGUGUGUUCAAAGGAAAUGCAGGUAAAGAUGGUGAUGACGUUUUUGCUGCUGAAAAGAGGAGAGUCUACACAGGUCCAAAUCCUCUACACAAUAGAUAAGCACUAGUAGAGAAACCAAGCUUGAUUUUCUCUCCUUCAAGCUAUGAAUUUUCCUUUCCCUUCCCCUUCCCAUCUCCUCUUCCUUUUUCCUUCUUUCUUUCCUCUUUUUUCCUCAUUUUUAUGAAUAUAUAUUUUAUGCUUGAGGCUUUGCUGAACUUGUUCACAGGAUGUUUUUUCAAGUAAUUUUACAAAUGUAUAUGAAGACUUAAUUAGUUUUGAGAUUUUGGUGAUCAGGAAUCACUUUUAUUUGUUAAAAUAUAUAUAAAUAUAUAUAUAUAUAUAUAAUAUAUAUGGCAAGAAAUAUUUUUCAUUCUAAUGAUCUCCUGAAUAUUAAUGCCAUUAAUAGGGUGGUUGGUGUUUAUGAGUAGAGGUCUGCUUUUUGAUCAAGUUGGUUGGUAUUAUUAUUCUUUCCCACUGCUAUUGUAUUCAAUAAACUGCAGCAGCUUUGCCUCCUCGAGCCUAUUCUUUCCCUCAUUUCAAGCUUUGCCCUUCAACUAGCUAGCUCAUCCAUACUUACUUCAUAUGGAUUUGUUUUAUAUACAGACAUGCAUGUAUUCAGCUUGCAUGUCAAUAUGUGGAAAAUUGGCUCCUACAUGUUUGUGAAGUUUGAUUGUCUAUUUGGUUAUUUCAGUUGUUUGAUGAGUGAAAAUCUGCAUCUAUGAUAGCUUCUCUUUCGGCGGAAAUGGCUAUUCUGAGAUGUUUCCUUUUGCAGAAUGUUUGUAUAUUUUACUAUUUUGAACCAAAAUUAAUUAAUUAAUUUUCACCAUAAAGAUGGUGUUGCAGGAUUAAUUUGUCUAUAGUCUUCAACUCAUCUUAAUUUUCCUGCCAUGAAUGAUUAUGAAGGAGGCCCCACUGAUAGGGUUUGAUUCAACCUUUGCCAGCCAUAUGUCCACUAUAGUUAUAGACAUAUACAUUGAGAAUUUUAAUUAUUCUUCUGUUUUUUAUGAUUGUGGAUAGAAAAUUCUUACACCCUUUUGAUGAAUGAUGGAUUACAAUAGAUGGCAAAUUUUUUUAUUUAAUUUCUUUAUUUCUUUAUUGUUUUGUUACUUCAUAGAUUCAUAGGUGAAGUGGGGAAAAUUAUUUUCAAAUUUUAGACCAUUACAUUUUUUUUUUUUGGGUUCAUUCCAAUUUCCCAUGAGGGAAAACAACUUUUGGGUAAAAAAAAGUACAACAAAUAGUGUUUUUCCUUUCUAAUUAUCUUUCUUUGAUUUUUUUAAAUUUUCAUUUUCUUUCCUCUUUUAAUUAAUGACCUAAAAAAUUGUAAAGAAGAAACCUUUCAAAAGAAUUCUCUCCAUGCCCUCUUCCUCAUCUUUCCUUAGAUGGUUUACCCAUGAAUUGUUCUGUAAGAUUCUGGGUUGGAAUCUAUGGUAUUCUCAGACAUAUAGAGUGGAAAAAAAGAAAAGAAAUUAGAAGAAAAAUAAAAAUGAUAUGAGAGAAAAAAAGGUGAGGAGUGGAAGUUUUGAAAAUAUUGCAAGUCAAUUGUGGAGUGAAGAGGAAUAGUGUCCUGGUAGCUACAGUAUAAAAAUAUGUACAAAUUGUUUGUUUCUACAAGAUUGAUAUGGAGAGGGGGAUUUGGUUUUUGUUUCUUACUGAUGAUCUCCAUACACCAUAUUUUCAAGAUAGGGGCCUUCAGCUUCCCGGCUGCGGUCCACUUGGAAAUAGGAAAAGAACUGUUGGAUGCAAGAGUUUUGAAAUGUGACCAUUAUUUAAUCGAAUACGAGUAUGAAUAUACAUAUAUUUUAUGGUUAAUAUUAUGAUUUUUGCCUUUUUUUUUUUAACAUAAAAAAUAAUAAUAAAAGAUAUGUUUGAUAAAUGUUUUUAGAAAAUAAUUUUUAAAAAUAUUUCCUAAAAAAAGAGCUGGUUUUUGUCAGAUAUUGAAGUAUUACUUCUAAUAUUUUUGGAAAUUGUAAAUACUCUAAAAAUAAAAAAUAAUUUAAUUUUUAGAAGUGAAUUUGAAAGUGCUUCAUACCCUCUAAAAAUCAAGAUAAAAUCUCAUCAAUCUCUUACCUUUUACUUUUAUGAUCUAAGUAAUAUCACUAGUAAUUUUAUUGUAAGAAACAGGAAUUUCAGUGAUGAGACAAUAGAAUUUGGUUGUGGAAGAAUGGAGGCCAAUACAAGGGUUUUUGAAAAAAGUAGUGAAUGGAAAUUAAAAACAUAAAUGCAUGAGGAAAAAUUUAAAAUCAAAAGUGGGUGCGAGGAAAACAUUGUUGAAAUAUGCAAUGAAUGCUGAAGGGAGGGUACUCAAGGCAGUUAAUGGGGCUUGAAAAACGAGUCGUCCUUGUCAAGUUCAAGGAAUGAAGACAUGGUUAAUUUCAUGUCCGAAAAGUCACAGUCUCACGAACCAUUGCCCUCUUGAAUAAGAAAGGUGAGGGUUGGAAAGACUAACUGAGACUAAAUAUUAAAGCCCAUACCAGAUUACCAGAGGCUGGAUUGAAUUCAAGGAUAACCAGUAGGACUGUGAAUCCAUUCUGGUUUUGAUAAAAUAAAAUAAAAAUCAGAAAUUAUAAAAGGUCCCAAAGAAGACCACUUCUCAGUGUCAAUGGCGGUAAUACCUGCAUUCACAAACCACCGAAGGCAGUAAGGCCACAAAAUUGAAGUACAGGAAAAUGAAGAAAGGCAGGGCAGGAUUUGAAAAGUCAAAAAACUACAACCCACAACGUAACAUAGAAAACGGAAAAUGUCAGGUAACGGUCAUGUCAUCCACACCAACAAUUUCAAUUUUGUAUCCAUUCAAACCUCCAUUUCAGACUCCUUUCCUCUAUAACUUUCCCAUAUCAAAUUACCCCCGUCACCCGACAACUCCCCAGUGCUAUUAAAGAAGCCAUUUAAUGCACCAGCUUCUUAAAACCGUCCAUUCUCAUCGCGACUGCAGCCCCAUGGCCUACUUCCCUCCCCCCUUCAACUGAUCAAAUUAAGCUCUCUUAAGACGGAUUCUUAUUAUGACAAAAAACAUUAGGGGUUUGAAUUACCCAAAGAAGUUUUUAAAAAAAUUGAUCAUGAAAACAGAAUAUUUUUUAAAACGGAUAAUUUUACAGAUGUGUUUUCAUGUAAUUUUUUAUGAAGUGUUUUGACAAAUAAUCAAAAAGUAUGAAGAAGAGAGGGAGCUAUAAGUAUUUACAUGUUCAUUCCCAAUGCUCUAACUGCUGCCCGGCUCAUGCUUUUCCACUUGAGACUGUAGCUAAUAUAAUAUGAAGAAUCUAAACUUUAAGGCAAGCAAAUUAAAAUUACUUUCUGUAAAAUCUGCAUGGAAACUACAUAUUCACAUGAUGCCUGCAAAACAUAAUUGGCUUCUCUUAAGAUUCUGCUGCUCAGGAAGUCAGGCUAUUGUACUGCACCUUGCUUGAUCAAACCCUACCUUCCGCUAUCGAAGUCCUUGUACGUCAUCAAGCUACUAAAUUUUGGAAACCCUCUUAAUUUUCAAACACACACUCCCGUGCAAUGAGUCCGACCACCCCAUCUAAGAGUUUGAAAAUUUUUGUUUAAAAUCUGUAAACUAAAAUAUCCACCGUUGUACUUUCACUCUUCCAUGGAUACUUAAACUAACAAGCAAUUCUACUCUUCCAUGUAUGCUUAAACCAGCAAGCAAUUCUACUCUUCCAUGUAUGCUUAAACCAGCAAGCAAUUCUAGAAGAACGAUUGAGUAGACAUUAUUUGUAAACUUCAUUCUUUUUUCUACCCUAUGUAAUCACAAAAAUGGAAGGCAGGAAUGCAAUCAUUAGAAGGAUCACACAAAGGCGGAAAUGGAACAACCAUGACACAGUCCAAAGGUAAGUUCAGGUCCAUAAAAGGAUAACUAGGGGGGUUUUUUUACUUUGGAUUUGCAGAGCACCCAAACCCACCCUCAAGAAAAAUAAGAUAAAAUAAAAUAAAUCCAGUGCUAUUCAUGUUAGCCUUAAGAGCAGGCAUUUGCAUAUAAAUAUUUCAAUGUGACAGCAUUACAAUUCGGGAGCAUCACUUUGGUUCAGCCAAAAAUGGACUCUGAUGGUAUUGUUCCUGGCACAAACGCAUGGAACGCAACAGGAAACACACAAUGCAAUAGUAAAACUAAGAUAACACCACAACUUGUGGCUUGUGCACAGUCAUUCUCUUCAAGGGGUGAUUUAAAAAUUUCAGAUGAUCAAUGCUCAAAAUUCCAAUGGGUGGGAUAUAAGAUGAUCUACCCUCCUGUACCUCAUAGCUUGGAGGCAUGACCUCUGAUUCUACUCAAGGCAAUUGCUGUCUUUGAACCAGAUUGUCGUCCCAAAUGCUGACAGAUGAAAUCCCCAGCCAACAUGAGCUUCCCAAGAUCCACAUUUGUCUUCACCCCGAGUCCAUUUAGCAUGUAAACAACAUCCUCAGUCGCAACAUUCCCAGAAGCACCUUUAGCAUAUGGGCAGCCCCCAAGACCAGAUACUGAUGAAUCCACUGUGGUGAUCCCCAUCUGUAUAGAAAAGAGAUAGUGUAUAAAAUAUGGAAUAAAGCAAACACCCAUCAUGAUUAGUAAUGUUGUUGAGCCAAUUUUGAUCCUUAACUGAGUAUGCAAUUCUGAUUUUUUGAAUUUCUAAGUGAAUGAUAAGCACAUCAUUAAAGCAAGCUCAAGAAAGUUCUGCAUAUACUCAGUAGAUGUGAUUUAAAGAUGCAUCAUUAUCUUAAACCACUGAAAAUUCAGUUAUAUGCACCAUCUCAAUUAUAUGCAUCUCUAUGUUCAUGAGUAAUGAUUUUUAAAAUUUUCUAAAUCCAACUGCACCCCCAAGGUGAAACUUUGAUGUUCAUAUCAACAUAAUAUGCAUGGAGAUUACACCUUUUUUGGUACAAGAUGAAGGCAGCUUAUGUUGAAGAAUGCACUCUAAACAGUCUACUAAGCAAUGUGUUAUUAUUACAAUCUAGUUUGAGUUGGGUCAGUGAAAUGUUUCAUGAAAGUUAUAAUAAUAUUAGAUUGGUAUCCAUGAUUGGAAUUAUAGUACAAAAAUUAAGGACAUUCAAUAUCUCAUUACCACGUAUCUUGCAAUAUAUUUGAUCCCACUUGGGGCUGUUACUAAAGUAAUUCAUUCUUCUAGCAAUGCUAAUUUUCUUCUCAGUUUCAAAACAACAAUAUUUCUGAGGCCUGAACUCGUUAAUGGAAUGACCCUUGGCUACCAUCCAAUGGACCCCAAAUAUAUUUUCCUUUUAGUUUCCCAUUUUAUUUUAUGUUUUACCUUAGUGUUUAUGCUAACUGUAUUAGACCCUUAUUUCAAUCUAUAAGCAUUAUAUAUCAUAUAAUUUUCUUUAGUAGUGGUACAGGAGAAAAAGAUUGGGGUUGACUUGUCCAAGUAAGGUGGCUUAGACAAGCAAACAAGGAUUUUUGAGAUAUCAGCCUUUGAUGGUAAGUACUCUUUUUUUUCUUGUUUGACAAAUAUGUUAGUAGCAGCAGCAACAAUGAAUUCAAUAUAAACCCACAAGAUAAAAAUUAAAAUUAAAAGAAUAAAAAAAAAAAUAAUAAUAAUAAUAAUAAAGAUAGCUUUAUUUGAUAGUGUAAACCCAAAAAAGGGACAGCUGUAUGUGAUGGUGAACUCUCUAUUCACCGUUUCUUUUGGCAUAGAGAGGCCUAAAAGGGGAAGAGGAAGAAAACCUAACCACAGCAAUGUAAAAACUAAUGGCAAGGAUCAGUUUUUAAUAAUAAUAAUAAAGACAGCUCUAUUUGAUAGUGUAAACCCAAAAAAGGGACAGCUCUAUGCAAUGGUGAACUCUCUAUUCACUGUUACCUUUGCCCUAGAGGGGCCUAAAAGGGGAAGAGGAAGAAAACCUAACCACAGCAAUGUAAAAACUAAUGGCAAGGAUCAGUUUUUAAGUGUCAUCAUUGUGGGAGAUCUGGUCAAGCUAAAGAGAUAAUUUGGGAAAUGUGUGAUCAUUGAACAACGUUUCCUCAACACCCCAAGCUACUGAUAUUGUUUUGAAGCUGCUUUGAAACUCUAUUUAACAAACAAUCCUAUCGCGCACUCAUAUUAAUUGUUUUAAUAAAGAUUCACAAGUGCACAUGCAUGCAUUUGGUUUUCUCUUCAAGUGAAGUUGAUAGGUAUCUAAUGGAGAAUUAUUAUUGAAUUUCAAGAAUUUCAAGAAACAAGAGACCCAACUGAUACUCGGAUAGCUAUUCGAGAGGCUAUCACUCUCCUACCAGAUCUACAUGAUAUCCAGCCCCUGUAAUUCCCUCCUUUUUCCUAUUUUAACCAUCCCAGCCCGUAUCCAGAUUGUGACCUAGCCUAUACUAAGGCUGUUACAACUAACUGCCAGGUGGCAGUACAUUCCUCUUCCCUUUUCUAGUAUACACAUAACGUGUAUGAGGCCUAUCAUUACCCCCCUCAAUGAGAGACACCUUGUCCUCAAGGUGGAAGUCAGGAAAGUGUUCUUUAAUUGUGUCGGUUGAUUCCCAUGAAGCUUCAAACUGAGGAAGUCCUUUCCAUUGAAUAAGUACUUCAAUAUCAGUCUGAUUGUUAUUGGGAGACAGGUGAAUAUCUAAGACCUGAUCAGGCUCCACAAGCCAUUCCAUAUCUUCAGCAAGAAUAGGGGAAAGUGGCUGACAUAAAUCAGCUGAACCAAGAGCCCGCUUGAGCUGUGAAACAUGAAACACUGGAUGAAUAGUUGCCGAAAAAGGAAGCUCUAACUUGUAUGCCACCAGACCAAUUUGCUGCACCACUUUGUAAGGGCCAAAAUAUCGUGGGAAGAGCUUCUCAUUGGGUCGUUUGGCAAGGGAACGAAGACAAUACAGACGGAGUUUUAUAUAGACAAAAUCCCCAACUUCAAAUUGAACUACACGACAAUGGGCAUCUGCAGAUGACUUCAUUUUAGAUUGGGCACAACAGAGAUGGUCCUUCAGUUCAUUUAAAAUUAGAUCACACUCUUGCAAUAACUGAUCCACUGCCAGAACAGAGGUGGAAUCUGAUCCAUAACGUAGCAACGGUGGUGGGUCUCACCUGUAAACUGCUUGAAACGGUGUCAUAUUAGUGGAGUGGAAUGUGGUAUUAUACCAGUAUUCUGCCCAUGGAAGCCAUGUAAACCAAUGUCUAGGCUUGUUAUAUGAAAAACAUCGAAGCUAUGUCUCCACACAACGGUUGACCACUUCCGUUUGUCCAUCCAUUUGAGGAUGAGAUGCAGUACUAUGGCAGAGAGAAGUAAGCAUAUUUGCUCAAUCAAUCCACAACAACUAAAAUGGAGUUAUAACCCUCAGACUUAGGAAGCCCCUCAAUAAAGUCUAUCGUCACAUCAUCCCAUAUUUUUUCUGGAAUAGGCAGUGGUUGUAGUAACCCAGCAGGCGACAAAGUUAGGGCCUUAUUUUGUUGGCAUACAAACUCUUUGAUGUCAUUCUUCAUGCCAACCCAAAAAAAAAUCUCGUAUGAGUCGUUUGUAAGUCUGCAAGAACCCGGAAUGCCCUCCAACCACGCUAGCAUGGCCCUCUUGAAGAAGUGCUGGAACAAGGGGUGAGGCCUUGGGAAGAACUAGGUGCCCCUUGUAGAGGAGAAUGCCAUGGUCCAAAGAAUACCAAGGAUAAGCAUCUGGAUCAACCAGCAGCCUCUGCCGAAUCUUAGCAAGGUGUGGGUCAGCUUCAACUUGUGAACUAAUCAACGAAGUGUCUAAGCGACUAGGAACUAUGAGGGCAGCUAACUCCAUAGAAAUGGGGAUGUGAGAUAAGGCAUCAGCUGCUUUAUUCUCCAAUCCAGGCCAAAACUGAAUUUCAAAGUCAUACCCCAACAGCUUUGCAACCCACUUUUGGUAUGACUCAUUCACCACCCUUUGCUCUAGUAGAAACUUCAAACUACUUUGAUCUGUUCACACAAUAAAGUGGCGACCAAGCAGGUAGUGAUGCCACUUCUGAACUGCUAAGACAAUAGCCAUUAACUCUCUUUCAUAUAUGGACUUUUGUCACUCCCUUGCUGAGAGGAUUUGGCUAAAAUAAGCUACUGGUCUAUGACUUUGCAUCAAAACGGCACCCAAACCAUACCCCGAGGCAUCCGUCUUUACAAUGAAGAGUUGACUGAAGUUGGGCAAAGCCAAUACAGGAAUCGUUGUCAUAGUUGUUUUCAAUUUUUAGAAGGUUGCCUUGGCCUCUGGGUUCCAACUAGAAGCAUUUUUUUUUUUGAGUUGCUGAGUGAAGGGCCAAGAAAUAGCUCCAUAUCCCUUGACAAAUCAACAAUAGUAUCCAGUCAAUCCGAGAAAUCCUCGUAAUUCUUUAAGGGAUUUGGGUGUGGGCCACUCUACCAUGGCCGAAAUCUUGUUGGGAUCAGCAGCAACCCCCUUGGCGGAAACCAAAUGGCCCAAGUAUUCCAGCUGUGGUUUAGCAAAGAGACAUUUCUUUCCAUUGACGUGCAGUUGGUGGUUCGCCAGAAUGGACAACACACUUUGCAAAUAAUCACAAUGCUCCUUCAAGUCCUUGCUGUACACCAAUAUGUCAUUAAAAAAUACGAGCACAAAUUUCCGAAGGUGUGGCCAAAAUAUACGGUUCAUUAACGAUUAGAAAGUCGUUGGUGCAUUGGUUAGCCCAAAAGGCAUCACCAAGAACUCGUAGUGACCUUCAUGGGUGCAAAAUGUCGUUUUGUGGAUAUCUUGUUGUCGGACUUGAAUUUGGUGGUAGCCCGAUUUGAGGUCUAGUUUGGAAAAAAUGGUCGCGCCAUGAAGUUCAUCGAGUAACUCAUCGAUCACCGGAAUGGGGAACCGAUCCGGGACUGUAACUUUGUUAAGAGCAUAGUAAUCUAUACAAAACCUCCAUUCUCCAUCUUUUUUUUUUAACCAACAACACUGGACUAGAAAAUGGGCUUAAACUAGUCCGAACAAUUCUUGCCUCAAGCAUCUCUAGCACCAAUCUUUCUAUUUCAUUCUUUAGAAUAUGUGGAUACCGAUAGGGACGGACGUUAACCGAAGAUGCUUCCAGGAUUAAUUGAAUGGCAUGGUCAAUAUCACGACUUGGUGGUAACCCUGUUAUUGGCCCAAAAACUCGUUGAUGUUGAGCUAACACUUCUUUGACUGUUUUCGGGACCUCUUGUACUCCUUCACUCAAAUCCGAAGUGGUGGAAGUCUAACAGAGUUCCACCCAUACCCCUUGGCUAUGGUGCUGCAAUGCUCUAGCCAUUGCCUUAAGAGACACCUCGGUCUGACUAAGGCUCGGGUCUCCCUUUAACACUAUCACUGCCUUCCCUAUUUUGGUCUUCAUUGUUAGCAUCUUUCAGUUUACUUUCACGUCUCCUAAAGUCCCCAACCAAGGCAUUCCUAGAAUUACAUCAGUGUUGCAUAAUUCAAGUGGAAGAAAGUCACUACAGUGAGCCCCUACAUCGAAAUACAAACUCCCCUACAAAUGCCCUUCCCUUUCACGGAUAUCCCAGUUCCCAUCAUCACCCCGUAACUAGUUGUUGUAGUUAAUGGAAGUGCUAAUUGUUGAACCAAAUCAAGGAAUAAAAAAUUGUGGGUAGCCCCACUGUCUACAAGGAUGAUUACCUCUUUUGACCCGAUCGUCCCUUUAAUCUUCAUAGUCCCCGGCAUAGUUAAACCGACCACGGAAUUUAGAGAUAAUUCCACAACGUCUUUCAGCUCGAUGAGUGAAGGUUCUUUGGUUGCUCUGUCGUCAAACUGAUUAUCCUCCUCCUCUUCAUCUUCGUGCACCAAUAAAACCCUUAAUUCUUUCUUACAGUGAUGACCAAGUGAGAACUUUUCAUCACACUUAAAACAGAGCCCCUUCUCUCUACGGGCUUGAAGCUCUGAUUCCAUCAGUCUCUUUAUCGGAAUCUCACGUCGCUAGUUCAUCGUCUUCUCACUAACAACCACUGCCCUAGUCUGAAAAUUUUCCCCAAUCUUCCAAUCACCUCGAUUUGCAGAUGACAACAUUUUGGUGCUCUUUGGGUCCUUUGGUUCACGGGCCGCCCUUAGGGUUAAAUUCCUAUCUUCGACUUGUUGGGCCAUUUCCAUCAAGUGGCCCAGCCCAUAUGGUUGCAGAAGACGUAACUCAGCCCGGAUCUCAGGAAGCAGCCCAUUCAUAAACGUACUUUCCAUUACCUCCUCUGAAAUCCUUUUCAAGGGAGUCGCUAGAAUCUCGAAUUCCCGCUGGUAUGCUGCCACUGUCCCUUGUUGUCACACUGCCAGAAACUGCUCACAAAGGCUCCCUUCUUGAGUCUGACGAAAGCAAAGCAAUAGCCGCCUCUUCAAAUUUUCCCAACUCCCAAACGCCUCCCUCGAAUCAGUGCACUGGUACCAAGAGAGUGCGUCCCCAUCUAAACUCAUCGCAGCAGCGACUAAUUUCUCCUAUUCCAUGAGUCCAUACGUCGCGAAGUAUCGAUCGGCCCGGAAGAUCCAGCUAUCCAGGUUUUCUCCCGUAAAUACAGGCAUCUCCACCCGUCGACCGCCACACCAUUCCCCGUUUCCGCCUCGCCUCGUCUCAUCUGAUGCCAUCCACCCCCCACUAGUUUCCCCAACUCCAGGGAUCCAUUUUGCAUGGUUUUCUCGUUGAGCAGCAGUCGUCGUGACCCGCCCCGAUGACAACGCCGCCACCGUCUUUUGUGUCUCUUCCAACGAUUGCAGAACUCGCAUUACAUUCUAGGCAAGGUCCAUCACCGUCUUUUCCAUUCCUAGUAAGCGCUGCAUCUCCUCUCUGAUUUCUCCAACUUCCUUCUCUAGAAAAUCCACCCGACCUUCAUUCUUUUUCUAAGCCAUCUAGAUCGAUGCUCUGAUACCAAAUUGAUAGGUAUCUAAUGAAGAAUUAUUAUUGUAUUUCAAGAAUUUCAAGAAACAAGGGACCCAACUGAUACUUAGAUAGCUAUUCGAGAGGUUAUCACUCUCCUACCAAAUCCACAUGAUAUCUAGCCCCUGUAAUUCCCUCUUUUUUCCUAUUUAAACCAUCCCAACCCAUAUCCAAAUUGUGACCUAGCCUAUACUAAGGCCGUUACAACUAACUGCUAGAUGGCAGUACAUUCCUCUUCCCUUUUCUAGUAUACACAUAACAUAUAGGAGGCCUAUCAGAAGUAAAUGUUGAAUCAUCAAUUAAAAAACUUCUAAUCGAAUCAAUUAUGUAUAAUCAUUUUCUAGUGUAUCUGUUAAUGCAAUAUUAGGGUUCAGAUUGCCAAUGCAUCACUUCCUCAUAUAUUUUCGAAGAAGAAUAUUAUGAUAUCAUUUACUAAUCCCAUCUGUUACUAGUAAUAUAUAAAACUUAAUAAUGGGUCUUGCAUUUUUCUUUAGUCUAGUUUCUUACUACCAAUUAGAGUAAGAUAACCAUCAGGGUUCUUGAACCUAAUGGUUAUUACUUGUUUAAGUCAACAUUAUUCCUCAGGUAGAUCACAGCCUAGUAGAAUCAGUAAGACUAGCUUAAUAUUGUUAUCAUCAAUCAUUUGUCACUUUUGUCCUCAAACCAACUUUUUAACCAGUUUAUUAAAUUUUCACCUAAUUCAUGUUUUAAAUGUGAGAUUCAUUAGCUUCUGACAUUGUCACAUGUCACAUCCUAUAUUUGAUAAAUUCUUUUGAUUUUGCACAUUAUGAUAAUUGAGAAUCUCCUCAUUACAAAUGUUGUGUGUUAAUCUAGGGCCACCUCCCCCUGCUUUUUAUCUUUGCAAUCAUUAUUUGUAUCUUCUGCAGUUUGGUUGAUCAACUGUACUUGUGUCAUCCUCAGGAAAUAUAUAGAUAAGAUCAUUGUUAAAACAUUUCAAAAAAAAAUCUAAUUAAAUUUUGGUAUUAGCAGAGAGAAUGGGUGCAUUUAUGAUGGCCAUGUACCCUAAUUUAGAGAACACAUCAACAAAAAUGUGUUGCACAGAACAUAAAUGGACACAACAAGAAACCUCCACUUGAGGGAUUUUGUCUAAUCACUCCAUAGCAAACUCACACUGGCAUCACAUAAUCAAUUUGAGGUAUGUGUUAGGAAGAGAAUUCUGGGUCAAUUUCUAGUUUCAUACAUAUAUAUUUGGCUUCUAGUGUCAAUCAUUUCACAAUAUCCUUAAAACCUUAGUUAAAAAAUAAUUCACCCAGGAGCAAUCAUUUUCACAAAUGAUGCAUAUAUGAAUAAAGAGAAAUGGCAUCUUAAUCAGAAAAACCUAACUCAUUAUAGAGGGGAGUCGAACAGUCUCUAAAAUACUGUGAGUAUGCAUUAUGUAAAAAGAAAAAAAAAAUGAAGAACAGUUCAACCUCAAUCUGCCCAAGAAAAAUAAAUCCACAAAGAAUAUACUGGAAUUUGAAAGGUUCAGACUUUCAUGUGCAAAUUAAGAUAAGAAGGUUGCUUACUUGGAGUGAUGCUAGAAUAUUUGAAAGAGCCUGCCCAUAAGUAUCGUGAAAAUGGACGGCAAGCUUAUCAAUAGGAACAACAUCAAUAACAUCUUCAAGCAUUGGAAUGACAGUACCUAGACAUAGGGAAAGAAAGCAAGAAAUAAUAAAUAAAUCAACAAAGAGAAAAGCACCAGAUAAAAGAAAGCAUUAUUCCUACUCUUAAAAAAAAAAAAAAUUAAGCACAUCUCCUUUCUUAUACUCAAUGCAUAUAUUAACUAUAAUUAAUUUUAGAUUUUCAUGUUCUAGGUCUAUAGGUCAAAAAUAAAUCCAAUGUGUAAAUUUUAUUACACUGACUUCAUCCAAUAACCAUAAGGUAUCCAGUCACAUGUUAAUCCUAUUAUUAUACUAUGUUUUGUAUUAUGCUAUUAAACUCAUUGUUUUUCAAUUAAAAUCCCUUGUUUGCAGAAGUUAGAUUAUUUAUGUAACAUGGACAGUUCCAAAAUUUGUGUUUGUAUAUGCAAGCCAGCAAGCACGCCCAUUUGUAUGUGCAACAAAUAAUUUAAGAAAUCAAUUAAUUUUAAACUGGUGAAAACUAAACCAAAUGUAUACAUAAAUUGUUUUUAAAUUCUGGGCUAUUCCACUGUAAGGAUUUAUAUUAAUGUGAACAUGUGAUGUUUUAGGUUAAAUUAUUAUGUGUAUAAUGUUCUAAAUUAGAUUAUCAUACUUUUGGGUUAUAUAUUAUAGAAGCUCCCAUAUUUUUGAAAAAAGUAUUGGCCCAAUUAUGCCCCAAACCAAAUCAAACUGAUGUUAAGUCGGGUUGGUUUUGGUCAAUAACUAAAUUGGUUCUAAUUGGUUCCAAUUUAUUUUAAACUGACCAACUCGCUUUUAGUCUUGGGUUGGUUAAAAACUAACCUAAACUAAACCGCCCCUACUUGCUGACUACAAAUUUAUUUUUUUCACAUACAAUGUCCCACAAUUUUACGAUGUUUGAAAAACAAGAAAUUUAAUAUGCUUAUUACCUAUUACCAAUCAAAAUUCUAAAUUAAAAUAAAGGGAAAAAAUGGAAAAUAAAAGGUGAGGCUAUUUUUGGUUUCUAGAAAAUAUUGAGGAAAGAAAUAAAAUAUUAAGGAAAAUGAUUUCCUCAUGUUUGAUUUUACCAUGAAAAAUAUAAAAGAAAAUCAAAUAUAAUUAAAUUUCAUUGGAAACUUAUGCAUUUUUAUAUUAUUUAAUCUUCAUAUAUAGAAGAAUAAAAUAAGUUAAAUGUAUUUGAAAUAGCAUGUAAAAACAAUUUAUUAACUUGAAAUCUAUUUUUCAUUUUCCUUCAAUUUUUCUCUCCUACUUUUUCUCCCUAUAUCUUCUUUUCCUUACAUUUUCCUUCAAAUUUUCCGGGAACCAAACAUGGUAUAAGAGAAGUUAGAGAACGACCUUAGUAUUCAUAAAAAAGUCAUCUAAAAAAUAACUUUGAACAAAAAAAAAGAAAAAAAGAG
Molecule: long non-coding RNA, 14363 nt
Filed under: Vitis vinifera (wine grape)
Lineage: Eukaryota; Viridiplantae; Streptophyta; Magnoliopsida; Vitales; Vitaceae
Description: long non-coding RNA (VVIN_LNC002518)
Source: RNAcentral